UCAAUCUUGUCUAUAAUAACCUUGCUCUACACAGAUCAUUAUCCUUUUGAGUGUUCACCUCCUCUGCUUGCUGGUUGGUUCUAGCCUGCUGUUAGGGUACUGCAUCUCGUCUCAGCGGCCACCUGCGCUCAAUACAAGAAAACAACUUGUCGGCUCAUACCUGGCUAAGGGCAGUGCAGUAGCGUUCACUUUGCUGUGUCUGAUACUGUCCCUCUAUAUCGUCUUGUUGUCGUGGAGAGGCCUCCAGCGCUACGGGAGUACGACAGCCCAUGUUCGUGGGUAUGACCGUGUCUCACAGGAACCAGAUGGAGACACUGGGCCUUUACUGGAGCUCGUGGACUCAGUGUGAUGGUCCAUCUGUUCGUCCGUCCGACCAUCCAUCCCAUCUCAAGUUAUUGUCUUUGCACAUUUUGUGUUUUUCAAUAAGUCACUUUCUAACAUUGUGCACAUAAUACAGUAAUAUCAUAAUUAAGUCGAAUCUAGAGAAUUUAACAACCUAAAGACCCUUCUCACCCAGGUUGCAGUCUGUUUGAACUACUCCCCUCCGGACGGCGUUAUAGAGCUCGGUACGCCAAAACCAGCAGACACAGAGACAGCUUCUUCCCCCAGGCUGUUGCUCUGGUGAACUCACACCACUCUUAGAGUCUCAGAGUCAUUACUGUGCAAUUACAUCCUGCUCGCCACACCUUUUUUUGAAUUUGUCUACACUGUUUGUACUAUGUGUCCUCUCUGCAUCCAUUGCAGCCUGGUCAUCCUGGAAGAGGGACCUUCCCAUCUGUGGUCUCUUCUCAAGGUUUCUCAUUUCCCCUAGCUGGAGUUUUGAGUUUUUCCUUGCCCUUUUGGGAGUUUAAGAUCAGGGGAUGUUUGAGAAUAUUUGCCAUUUUUCACAUGCCCUUAGUGUUGUUGGUCACCUAAAUGUUGAACAGAGAGUGUGAUUUACCGAAGUCAAAUUCCUUGUUUGGCACGCUCAAACAUGGCGAAUAAAUAACUCUUGAAUCUUGAA
This is a long non-coding RNA of Syngnathus typhle (broad-nosed pipefish), 1003 nucleotides long. RefSeq lists it as uncharacterized. Lineage: Eukaryota; Metazoa; Chordata; Actinopteri; Syngnathiformes; Syngnathidae. The transcript has 3 exons. The record is from RefSeq and is a predicted model, not a curated record.